RNAcentral lists this ribosomal RNA (441 nucleotides) under uncultured bacterium. RNAcentral describes it as "partial 16S ribosomal RNA". It matches the Rfam family "Bacterial small subunit ribosomal RNA", at positions 338 to 795 of the family's 1533-position model. The record is from RNAcentral.
CCUACGGGGGGCUGCAGUGGGGAAUAUUGCACAAUGGGGGGAACCCUGAUGCAGCGACGCCGCGUGGGUGAAGGAGUAUUUCGGUAUGUAAAGCCCUAUCAGCAGGGAAGAACAAUGACGGUACCUGACUAAGAAGCACCGGCUAAAUACGUGCCAGCAGCCGCGGUAAUACGUAUGGUGCAAGCGUUAUCCGGAUUUACUGGGUGUAAAGGGAGCGUAGACGGUUACGCAAGUCUGGAGUGAAAGGCGGGGGCCCAACCCCCGGACUGCUUUGGAAACUGUAUAACUGGAGUGCAGGAGAGGUAAGUGGAAUUCCUAGUGUAGCGGUGAAAUGCGUAGAUAUUAGGAGGAACACCAGUGGCGAAGGCGGCUUACUGGACUGUAACUGACGUUGAGGCUCGAAAGCGUGGGGAGCAAACAGGAUUAGAUACCCCUGUAGUC